CAAAUCGAUUCACGUGUGUGUGCCCACCAAAAAAGUGUGAUUAUCCUUGGCGGAAAAUCACACCAGCGCACUGGCAGCUGCCACCGCCAAAGCUUGAUCUCUCGAGGUCGAAUAUGCUUGAGAAAAGUAUAAGGAAAUUAAUGGGCCAAGGCGACCUUUCUCUUUGCCAUGGGAGGGGUCGAUCGACAUCUAUAAAUAGCGGCCUUCGGCGCGCAGCAUCUGCAAACAAACAACACAACUCCUCCAAGCCCCAACUAGUUACAACCCAGCCACAUCGAUUCACGAUGGCGUCCUUGGCCAGAGCCGCCCGUUUGAUGGUGCUCCUGCAGAUCGCGCUGUUCGUCGUCGUCUCCGCGGUGAUCAUGAGCAGCUCCGUCUGCCACGGAGCCGGGAUCGGUCCUGGUGCUCUGGACCCUAGCCGCCGCCCCAUAUGCGGAGGCAGACCGUGCGGACAGCCUGGCCUGCCGUACGGCGGCCGUCCUCGGCCCUACCCUUACCGUCCGCAGCCCGGCCCCGGAGCCCCUCCGCCGUACAAUGGAGGGAUUGGACGACCGUGAUCAUAGCAGUACUGUACAAGUUGCUGCAACAACCUUACUGAACCGGGAGUGUAAUAUCCGGUCGUAGGAAUAACUCCCGUUUAUUACUGCGAAUAAAACUGCAAGUCUGGCUCCCAUAUAUUAAUGGGUGUGUGAACGUGAAAGUUCGGUUCCAAAUUACUAUCACUUCCUCUGUUCGCUUUUAUAAGUCGUUUCAGACAACUGAAAAUGAGCUACUUUGCACUCUGUCUAAAAUGUCCUCAAGACCUUAUAAAAAUGAACAGAGGAAGUAAUAAAGAUGAAUAGUCUAAGUGUAAGUGUAAGUGCAAGUGUUAUGUUUUGCAAUCUGGAUUCAGUCUACAAGGCUGCCUCGUGCUAUUUUACUCUAGGCAACAUGGUGGGCACAUGGCUGCAGCUGUACGCUCCCACUCGAUCCAAGUACCCUUCCUUGUGCUUAUACCACGCCCCAUCCAUGUCAUGUUUCCUUCCCCAAAUCCCUUGUCCAAAUAAUUUACAGUGUAAAAUAAAUUGGACGGUAAUUCUACUGCUUAAUAAGCGUAACAAGUUAUGUUUCUCUUUUAAGGGAAAUUAACAAGCUGGAUUGAAAUGCCAUGCUUAACUGACAAGAGCAUUGGAUAGGAUAGCACGAGCAGUUCAGCACCUAUACACCAUAGGAACUUGUGCCGUCAAACAAAAACCCAGAGAGAAGAGGGAGUACGACCAUUUCAAAUAAGCAAUUUAUCAAUUUUGAGAUGCUCUCUGCACGAGUGUCUCUGCCCGUACAACAUCAGGCGUGUCGUUUCCUAUAAUGCAUACUGCAUAAACAACCUUGAUCCCAUUGCACAUGGGAAUCCUAUAGGAAUAUGGGAGCUGAAACCGUUAUUCAACUGGUUAAGCUUGAGCGGUUACUCGACUGGUUUGUUCGUUGCAUGUUUGCAGGGAGGUACACUUUGGGUUUGCCUUGUCAUCUCAUUACCGGCGACAAGGAAGUAUGCAGUGUGCCUGGAACAAGAUAACAAAUGACAAUAUCUUAGCCGAGGCUGAUAUGCUGCCGAAUGUUGGAUGAAGAUCAAGUCUCCAAAGCUUGCUGCAUGUGGUGUAGCGAUCGCUCCGCAGCUUGGUGGGUAACUCGGAAUGGCUGAUGUAGUCCUAUCAAGGCAGGAUGUCCUGCGAGAAGCAGACAGAGCAGGAAGGCGCCACUGCUUUAGGGACCUCGGUCUCCAAUUCGGAUGGAGUGCUGUAAUUGCUAUGAAUCAUACUAGCACCCUUUGGCACUAAUAUAGCCCUCCUUGCGUCGUCAGCCUCUCCGCCAAUAAGUGGUGCGAGUUAUGGGUCCAGGUGCAGAUGUUCGACGGGCACAUGGUGCUCGAGCGCGGCUGGGAGUACUUCUGCCGCCGGCACAAGAUCGUCCCCGGUGGCCUGGGGCUGAAGGUGCGGAUUUUCAACACCAACGCCUCGAACAUCUGCAGGGUCCGGUGUUCCAAGAACAGUUGCAUCGAUGACAUCGCGCAUGCCAUGUAGUUUGUCUGUCAAGUCUGAAGUGAAGUAGUUUAGGACUGAACUUAAGUUUGAAUGCCUGUUUUGUUGUGAAUAUGUCCAUAUUUUCCCAGAGAGCAGCACCCUAGGGUCCAACAGGGGCAUGGGAUGCCCUGCUGUUUUAAACUUAUGCCUAUUAGUACUUAUGAUCUUCCUGUUCUAAUCUGAUCUGAUCAUAGUGUGUCCUACUGUGAACGUCGUUUUGCUUUGUUCUUGUUGCUCUUCUGCUGUUGUUGAUCAUAAUGUGUUGUGUGUGUUGUGUGCUGCAAAAUGGUUGGUAAGUCCACCACAUUUGAAAGAGUGAGCACACCAAGUACUUGCACACAACCAAACGGCCGUGCUUUGCAUCUGCUCACCCCUAAAGCACAAACACGGAC
Molecule: ribosomal RNA, 2449 nt
Filed under: Triticum aestivum (bread wheat)
Lineage: Eukaryota; Viridiplantae; Streptophyta; Magnoliopsida; Poales; Poaceae
Description: partial small subunit ribosomal RNA
Source: RNAcentral